GACCGACAUCAGCGAUUCAUUCUGCGAACCCUGGCCCACGGCCAGAUAGGCGUUCAUGCCCAGCUCUUUCAUCUGCUGCUCGCCAAUCACGCGCGUAGUGAUGUUUUUGCUGUAGGCAUCCGCCAGCUGACGCGCCUGGGAGGCCAGGUAAGCCGCGUUACAGAUGUUCGGUGGCAUAUUGCCGAGGUCUUUUGC
Molecule: antisense RNA, 195 nt
Filed under: Erwinia billingiae
Lineage: Bacteria; Pseudomonadati; Pseudomonadota; Gammaproteobacteria; Enterobacterales; Erwiniaceae
Description: Yersinia sRNA 276
Rfam family: Yersinia sRNA 276
Source: Rfam by way of RNAcentral